UACGGAGGGUGCGAGCGUUAUCCGGAUUCACUGGGUUUAAAGGGUGUGUAGGCGGGUAUUUAAGUCAGUGGUGAAAUCUCCAGGCUCAACCUGGAAACUGCCAUUGAUACUAUUUAUCUUGAAUAUUGUUGAGGUAGGCGGAAUACAUCAUGUAGCGGUGAAAUGCUUAGAUAUGAUGUAGAACACCGAUUGCGAAGGCAGCUUACUAAACAAUCAUUGACGCUGAGGCACGAAAGCGUGGGGAUCAAACAGG
RNAcentral lists this ribosomal RNA (253 nucleotides) under uncultured bacterium. RNAcentral's name for it is "partial 16S ribosomal RNA". It matches the Rfam family "Bacterial small subunit ribosomal RNA", at positions 524 to 776 of the family's 1533-position model. The record is from RNAcentral.